AAAUAGAUUAACAAAAUGGGUAGAAAACCAUAAAGAGAUUCAGCAGAAUCGAUAAUUAGCAAACUCUCGAGUUAUAUUUGUCUUGUCCACUGAACUUCAGUUAGAAUAGUUAAAUAAUAUUUUCAAACCUGUUAAACUGGAGUUUUCUUUCUUACCGAAAUUUAACCUAAAUAACUAAAAAGUCUCCUAAAUUUUCUCAACUUAUAAGCAA
This 211-nucleotide long non-coding RNA is filed under the name Ananas comosus (pineapple). RNAcentral describes it as "long non-coding RNA (ACOM_LNC027513)". Lineage: Eukaryota; Viridiplantae; Streptophyta; Magnoliopsida; Poales; Bromeliaceae. The record is from RNAcentral.